Molecule: non-coding RNA, 5850 nt
Organism: Triticum urartu
Lineage: Eukaryota; Viridiplantae; Streptophyta; Magnoliopsida; Poales; Poaceae
Source: RefSeq, a predicted model, not a curated record
UUCCUAUCAUGACUACAUGUCUAUCCAAACACUUCUAUGUUGACUACCAGCAUUGACAAGUUGCCUAAUAUCACAUGUAAAGUUUCCUAUGAUGAUUACCUAUCAACCUAAUGCUCCCCCCUAAGUUGGUAGCCAUGACUGUCAAGUUGUGCAACACCAUCUCCAAAGUUGCAUAACAUCAUCUCUAAAGUUUCCUAGCAUUACCUAAACCUUGGCAACAACAUCAACUUUUCACAAUAUUGCAGGCAACUAAUUGUCGAUGGCAAGCAACUAAUCAAUCACAGCAGGCGACUAAAAAAUUAGCAAUGCUAGACAACUGAGCAUUGGCAGUGGGCAACUUUGUAUUAAUAUAGGAAACUUAAAGAUAAUGGUAGGUAACUGAGCAUCAACUGGUAGAGAUCUUACCCGCAGCGAUGGCCAAACUGAGCAUCAACAGGAAAAACUAUCUCUAGUAAAUGUUCGACAAGCUUUAGUCAGUAAAAAACACAAUACACAACUUGCACACAAGUCUCUGGCAACUCACUCCAACGUCUCUCGCAAAACACGCCCACUAUAGAAAAGAUAGUAGUAUCUCCAGGCAAGUACCUAGUAAACGUUGGGCAUGUUUUGGUCGGUAAAAACACAACAAGCAACUUGCUCUCGCAUCUAUAGCAACUUGCGCCUGCUUUUCUAGCAACACGCGCUGGCGUCUCCUGGGAAGUAAACAACAUCUCAUCUCCUGGAAAAUGAGACAUCAACAGUUCUGGUGUAUCACACUGUAGAAACAAAUAAAAUAGCAGCGCGAACAUCUACUACACAUACAAAAUCAAAACAACCAUUCAUAAAUCAGAUGCACGCGCGACAUUGCAGCUCCAAUUUCCCGUUACCACCAAACAUCGCAAGAUGGCACACAGGCAAUAUACACAAGAAUUACACAUAUAAACGACAAUACAGAGCUUUACAUUGCCAUCUAUCACCUGUGCAGCAAAAACAAAACAAGGUACCAGUGCCGAAAGGCCAAUCAGGCAAGCAGCAAGAAAAGAUUCGAGCUGCAGCAAACAACAUGGCCUCUAAUUUUUAACAGUUACCAAUGGCAACCAGCGAAAAGGUCAAAAGUUCAGAUUUGUAACAGUGACAUGUUCCUGGCUCUAAGCAAGUCUAAAUACAGGAAAGCAGAAGAGUUAGGACGCAAAACAACGGGUGUCUGGCCACACGACUCGUCCUGCAUUUUGUUGCAAUUGCAUCGCAGGACGGCAGGAGGCCGAACUAAGCAGAAUUGUUCCAUUUUUACAGUAUCUUCACUUACAUAUACUUUAACGUGCCCACAUGGACCUGACAAUGCAUAUAUAACUUAGGAAAACUUUGGCUGUGAACAAAAACCUUCCUGACGCCUAUAUAUAUCUGCACCUAGUACUACAAGUACUGAAGCAGAAGCAGAAGUUCAGGACACGAUAUCAGACGCUGCACUGCUUCAACCUUCUGGAUUGGGUGUUUGGUUGCUAAUCAUCAAAAGGAAAUGAGGUGCACAUUCUAGCCGCCGCCGUCGGCCGUGCUGUCGCUGCCAUGGCCAAGCACACGCUCACCUCCAAGCACAGAGGCCAAUCGAUUUUAUUCUCUGUAAACAAGCAUUUUUUGUUCGACCUGCCAUGAGCAAUUUGCUCGACCUGACAUGGGCUCUCUACAACCACGAGACGUGGAACAACAGCAGCAUAAGCGACAUCAGGACUCACCAAUAGAGGGGCUCGUCGGACUGUCGGAGUCAGCCCGCCAGUUGGGAGUCGCCGGACCAGCGAUUGGGUCAAAAAAGUCUCCACAAAGGGAGUCACGGGAGGACGAGCUUGGGCAGGAACAGGACGCACGGAGCCGACUGGAUGUAGGCGCACGACGGCCGGUGCAUGGUGGCCAUCGGGUACAUCCGGGACGACACAGACGACCCCGAAUCCAGAUCCGCAUCACAAUGAGGUCCAUAUCUCGCCGGGUUCACCACCGGGGAGGAGGGCAGCCUCCGGGAGCGACGAGCUUCGUCCCUCGCCGGGGUAGCGGGAAGAGGCAGGCCCUGAGCUUAUCGACGGUUAGGGGUGGGGGCUACUUCAAGGCGGCGCUUGGGGGCGGGAAGGUAGUCUAAUGGAGGCGUUGACCAUGCCGGGAGUGGUGGUGUGCGGCCGCAGCAGCGGGAGGUGGUGGUGGCAUCUUGUCGGGGCGGCAGGAAGAGAUGUUGGCCGCAGAGGCGCGGAGGUGGAGGUGGUGGCGACGGGGCGCGGGCCAAGACUGGAUGUAGGCGCACGACGGCCGGUGCAUGGUGGCCAUCGGGUACAUCCGGGACGACACAGACGACCCCGAAUCCAGAUCCGCAUCACAAUGAGGUCCAUAUCUCGCCGGGUUCACCACCGGGGAGGAGGGCAGCCUCCGGGAGCGACGAGCUCCGUCCCUCGCCGGGGUAGCGGGAAGAGGCAGGCCCCUGAGCUUAUCGACGGUUAGGGGUGGGGACUACUUCAAGGCGGCGCUUGGGGGCGGGAAGGUAGUCUAAUGGAGGCGUUGACCAUGCCGGGAGUGGUGGUGUGCGGCCGCAGCAGCGGGAGGUGGUGGUGGCAUCUUGUCGGGGCGGCAGGAAGAGAUGUUGGCCGCAGAGGCGCGGAGGUGGAGGUGGUGGCGACAGGGCGCGGGCCAAGGCGGCAGCGGGAGUGGGGGCCACCACGGAGAAAGGAGGAGGGAUUUGUUGGGGAAAUCUCUUUGUGUCAACCGGCUGAUAACACAACUCACAUAAACCGCCCGCUCCGCACGCCACGCGUCGUUGUGGGCCCUGCCCAACCUUAUCUUCUUAGCGAAACAGGCGAGCCAUCCGUUGAUCCCUCGUCUCUAACCUCUCGAUUCCUUCCACGGCUGAUUUCCGCGCCUCCCCACCAUGGACGUGUUGUUCCCAAGCUAAUGCCUCAAACCGUGCGUGUCUCCUCCAUGGACGUGUUGUCCCCAAGCCACUGCCCCAAGGCCAUGCGUCUCUUCGCCAUGGACGCGCUGUCCCCAAGCCACUGUCCCAAGCCAGUGCGUCUAUCCACCAUGGCCGUUUUGUGGUGUUGCGAAACAACACUGGCCGGUGGCAGCCAGUGCUCCGAUAAAGCAUUCAAGUGUUGUUAGUCGGAUGGGGUGCGGCGCGCUGUGGACCGGCUGCGGUGCAACCUCGUCGACGCUGCUCUGCAGCUCCCGACACACGCGACGGGAGGCACCGGAGCUGCGAUGCAACCUCGCCGGCGCUGCAAUGCAACUCUCCCAACACACGCGAUAGGAGGCACUGGAGCUGCGAUGCAGCUUCGCCGGCGCUGCUAUGCAGCUCUCCCGAUGCGCGACAUGAGGCACCGAUGUUGUGAUGCAACUCUCCCGAUGCACGCGGCAUGAGGCACCGAUGCUGCGAUGCAACCUCGUCGGCGCUGCUAUGCAGCUCUCCCGACGCACUCGGCAUGAGGCAUCGGUCAUCUUCGGUGGAUCUCGUCGAGCUUGUUGAGCUAGACGACGCAAAAGCUUCAAUGCAACGGGGAUGUUUGCUGUGGCGGAGAUGACCGGCUGAUUUCGAAGGUUGUCAACAGGCAGCACUGCAAGACGGGAUGACGAAGAGCGAUGGAGGAGUGCUGCACUCAAGAGACGACGGAGUCAAUUUCUGCUGGGUUGCGCUCGUGGUCCAACUGGCACAUAUCGGACGGCUGCGCAUGGCCUCAUCCAAUGGCUCAGGAGGCGGUUUACGAUUGUCUCACGUCAGCCGGAUGACGCCUAGCAGUGGCCAUUUGUUGGUGGACGGGGCGAUCGUGCGAAGGGUUCGCGUCGUGGGUUCCGACAAAAAUUCACCUGCGCGUUGUGAUCUCGCACGCGAGGAGAUCGGACGGCCAGCGAGGGUGUGUGCUCAAAACGUCAGCUGCACUUUUUAGCAUUUGGGUAAUUAACGGCAUCUAAACACACCAUACUCGCAUCUGCUGGACUCUACUGUACUCGCAUCUGCUGUCCUCUCUCCGUUUUCUUUAGCUCUCUUCUAUUGACUGUUUAUUCAUGCCUGUGUGCCAGCUUUGUACUUCUUGGAUUAAUUCCUCUAUUGCAAUAAAGUCUCUAGACAUUUUAUUCUUCAUAUGUCUGCCCUGUGGGCUUGCUGUGUCUUCUUUCUAUGUUUUACAAAGUAGAAAUGGCCCUUUCUAAUUUGAUUCUUCAUAAUCCAUUGAUCACCCCUCUUGUUUCCUGCUCCUUAGGGGGCCUGGAGAAAAAAAUGCCUCUUGCUUACACAACAAGAUUCUUGGUACUGCUUAUAGUGCCUCUUUGAGCUUCUUCUUCAAUGUUCCCACACGGGCCCAAAUAAUUGAUGUCUUGCUUAUUUAUUGGUGCUCCUUCUGUUGGGCCUUUGGGCCGCUCCUCUCUUUUAUUACAGAUUUAUUUUACAUGGGGUUUACAGGGCUUUGUGUUUUUUGGGCUUAUAAUUCUUCAUGGGCUUUUUGAAAGAUGUAUCUUGGGUUUUGCUUCUUGGGCUUGCUCUUUGUGUUCUCUGGAUUUUUUGUUUCCCAGCUAGGUUGCCUCCCCUUUUGUUUACGUCUUUUUCUUGUCAUUCCUUUUCAAAAACUUGUUUCUUAGUCUUUCUUCUGAGGUUUCCUUUUGGGCUGCCUUCUCCUAUCAGGAAAAAAUGCUUUCCAUGGGAUUUGUAGGGUCUUGUGUUUUCUGGCCUGGUGAUUCUUCCUGGGCUUUUGAAAGGAUGUUUCUUGGAUUUUGCUUCUUGGGCUUUCUCUCCGUCUUCUCUGUAUUUUUGUGCUCCUCCUAAAUAUAAUGUUUUCUCUUCAUGCCUUUCCCAAAAAAAAUGAUUAUUGGGUCCUUCUUCUUAGGUAAAAAGCUUCUUUUCUACUACUCAUAUAAGCACGUGUGAAUGCACAUGUUUUAGAUCUCAUAUGAAAGCAACUCGAUUGUACACCAAAAGAUAACUGUUGUGUUAAUAUAGCUUUCUCUCAUGCCUUGCUUGAUUGCGCAAUUGUACAGUCAAAUGCUUAUCUCACAUGAGGAAGAAAACUUACAGCUGCUGUGUUGAUAUAGCUUUCUCUCAUGCCUUGCUCAACUGCACAAUUGUACAAUCAAAUGCUUAUCUCACAUGAGGAAGAAAACUUAGUGUCGCAUGUUACGGAGAUACAAAUAUAUAGAUGGCCAUAAAGAAAUUCUAUUCGAAGCUGUCUAACUGAUUGAGUGAGCUGAAACCUGUCCGAGCCAAUUUAUUUACCUUUGGAUAUUAAUAUCUCAUCUUGCUCCGUUACCAAACUACUUGGUUUUCUAGGUGCACCAGGAGAAGUCUGAUGAUAAGGCUGAAGCUCUUUCAUCUUCUAUUGAAGGAAAGAAUGAUAAGGAUGACCAGGGGUAGAUGACCAAAAAAAGGGAGCUGUGCUACUGGAAAGGGGGCUGGGACAGCAAAGAAAUCAAGGCAGUUACUACUCUGCGCCAUCUAUGCAGAGAUUAAUUACCUAUAGUAGAGAGCAAGGGACAUAUAAGAAAUCUCCAGGCAGCUUCGCUUAGAUGCAUCAUCUUCUGCUAGGACCUAGGAGUCAGCUUGAAGAAUGACCUUCUCAGGUUAAUUCUUUAUAGAGAACAGGAGACUGCAACUAACAUGCUGGAUGGUGAAUAACCAAAUUUGUGGACAAAGACAGAUAGUUCAUCGCAAGGGGUGGUGUUUAGGAUAUAUAUACACAAAAGAGGAAACUUUCUUUUGUACAGAACCAAAUUAUAUGAUGUAAUUGACCACUAUUUCUAAGAAAUGUUCAUCGUGUAUUAAGUACAUUUUAUUGUGUCACUUUUUUUUUGAGGGGUAGCUUUAUUCAUCAAACACCACAAAGUGUGCAAUGGAGUUCAUCAAACCUGGCUUUA